RNAcentral lists this ribosomal RNA (429 nucleotides) under Chloroflexota bacterium. RNAcentral describes it as "Chloroflexi bacterium partial 16S ribosomal RNA". It matches the Rfam family "Bacterial small subunit ribosomal RNA", at positions 355 to 776 of the family's 1533-position model. Lineage: Bacteria; Bacillati; Chloroflexota. The record is from RNAcentral.
UGGGGAAUAUUGCACAAUGGGCGCAAGCCUGAUGCAGCCAUGCCGCGUGUAUGAAGAAGGCCUUCGGGUUGUAAAGUACUUUCAGCGGGGAGGAAGGGAGUAAAGUUAAUACCUUUGCUCAUUGACGUUACCCGCAGAAGAAGCACCGGCUAACUCCGUGCCAGCAGCCGCGGUAAUACGGAGGGUGCAAGCGUUAAUCGGAAUUACUGGGCGUAAAGCGCACGCAGGCGGUUUGUUAAGUCAGAUGUGAAAUCCCCGGGCUCAACCUGGGAACUGCAUCUGAUACUGGCAAGCUUGAGUCUCGUAGAGGGGGGUAGAAUUCCAGGUGUAGCGGUGAAAUGCGUAGAGAUCUGGAUGAAUACCGGUGGCGAAGGCAGCCCCCUGGACGAAGACUGACGCUCAGGUGCGAAAGCGUGGGGAGCAAACAGG